UACGGAGGAUCCAAGCGUUAUCCGGAUUUAUUGGGUUUAAAGGGUGCGUAGGCGGGCUGUCAAGUCAGCGGUGAAAGUUCGUGGCUCAACCACGAAAUUGCCGUUGAAACUGGUGGCCUUGAGUGUAGAUGAGGUGGGUGGAAUUCGUAGUGUAGCGGUGAAAUGCAUAGAUAUUACGAAGAACUCCGAUUGCGUAGGCAGCUCACUAGACUACAACUGACGCUGAGGCACGAAGGUGCGGGGAUCAAACAGG
This 253-nucleotide ribosomal RNA is filed under the name uncultured bacterium. RNAcentral's name for it is "partial 16S ribosomal RNA". It matches the Rfam family "Bacterial small subunit ribosomal RNA", at positions 524 to 776 of the family's 1533-position model. The record is from RNAcentral.